AGAAUAAUUUACAAAUUACGAUAUUAAUUUGUGGAGUAAAUUAAAUGAGUUCAAUGCGGCCUAAAAACCCAAAUAAAUAGGGUUUUCCAAAUUAAUUAAGUACAGCAAUGGGCAGGGUGUUAUAGUGCAUGUAGGUGGUCGAACUUCUAUAAAAAUCAAGGUUUUCGAACUUGGCAAUGAGGUUAUUAAAGUGAUAAGCUUUGACAUUCACUUCUAAAAACUUUACAGUACUCACAAUGUUGAGACAUGGAGCCACAAAAUAAAGUCAAUUACAACAGCUAUGUUGAUUUUCAAGAAUGUUCCCGUUAUAUGAAAAGAAAAAUAGAUAUGGGACAUCUACAAUAACUCU
RNAcentral lists this long non-coding RNA (349 nucleotides) under Carica papaya (papaya). RNAcentral's name for it is "long non-coding RNA (CPAP_LNC009262)". The record is from RNAcentral. Lineage: Eukaryota; Viridiplantae; Streptophyta; Magnoliopsida; Brassicales; Caricaceae.